GGAUAGUCCUAAAUAGUUUUUCCCCUACCCUGACACGUCUGUCCCUAAAGGCUAAGGUGACAGUGAGCCCUGCCCCAGACUGCAUCCUAGAGCAGUGGUCUGACUCUGCACACUUCCUAGAGAGAAAGGCAAGUGGUUCAGACACCUACCGAGGCCCACCAGAGGCCCAGAG
Molecule: non-coding RNA, 172 nt
Organism: Ceratotherium simum simum (southern white rhinoceros)
Lineage: Eukaryota; Metazoa; Chordata; Mammalia; Perissodactyla; Rhinocerotidae
Source: RefSeq, a predicted model, not a curated record